RNAcentral lists this ribosomal RNA (464 nucleotides) under uncultured bacterium. RNAcentral describes it as "partial 16S ribosomal RNA". It matches the Rfam family "Bacterial small subunit ribosomal RNA", at positions 339 to 795 of the family's 1533-position model. The record is from RNAcentral.
CUACGGGCCGCACCAGUGGGGAAUAUUGCACAAUGGGCGCAAGCCUGAUGCAGCCAUGCCGCGUGUAUGAAGAAGGCCUUCGGGUUGUAAAGUACUUUCAGCGGGGAGGAAGGGAGUAAAGUUAAUACCUUUGCUCAUUGACGUUACCCGCAGAAGAAGCACCGGCUAACUCCGUGCCAGCAGCCGCGGUAAUACGGAGGGUGCAAGCGUUAAUCGGAAUUACUGGGCGUAAAGCGCACGCAGGCGGUUUGUUAAGUCAGAUGUGAAAUCCCCGGGCUCAACCUGGGAACUGCAUCUGAUACUGGCAAGCUUGAGUCUCGUAGAGGGGGGUAGAAUUCCAGGUGUAGCGGUGAAAUGCGUAGAGAUCUGGAGGAAUACCGGCGGCGAAGGCGGCCCCCUGGACGAAGACUGACGCUCAGGUGCGAAAGCGUGGGGAGCAAACAGGAUUAGAUACCCUCGUAGUC